RNAcentral lists this unclassified non-coding RNA (336 nucleotides) under soil metagenome. RNAcentral's name for it is "partial contains 5.8S ribosomal RNA, internal transcribed spacer 2, and large subunit ribosomal RNA". The stretch from base 1 to 120 matches the Rfam family "5.8S ribosomal RNA", at positions 35 to 154 of the family's 154-position model. The record is from RNAcentral.
GUUGAAGAACGUAGCGAAAUGCGAUAAGUAAUGUGAAUUGCAGAAUUCAGUGAAUCAUCGAAUCUUUGAACGCACAUUGCGCCCGCCAGUAUUCUGGCGGGCAUGCCUGUUCGAGCGUCAUUUCAACCAUCAAGCCCCCGGCUUGUGUUGGGGACCUGCGGCUGCCGCAGGCCCUGAAAAGCAGUGGCGGGCUCGCUGUCACACCGAGCGUAGUAGCAUACAUCUCGCUCUGGGCGUGCUGCGGGUUCCGGCCGUUAAACCACCUUCAUAACCCAAGGUUGACCUCGGAUCAGGUAGGAAGACCCGCUGAACUUAAGCAUAUCAAUAAGCGGAGGA